Molecule: long non-coding RNA, 1324 nt
Filed under: Zostera marina
Lineage: Eukaryota; Viridiplantae; Streptophyta; Magnoliopsida; Alismatales; Zosteraceae
Description: long non-coding RNA (ZMAR_LNC002807)
Source: RNAcentral
AAAUUAAGCUAAUCUCUCUUUGUAAAUUACUCUUUGCCCCCACAUAAGUAGAAUCAACUACAUUUUUAGGAGGAGCGACUUAUGGCUUUGGCUAUAUGUGCGCAUCUUCUUUCAGCUCCCAUUCUCCUUGAAUUUGCAAUUCAAUCUGUUGAGCUCCCUGGUUUGUACAUCGAAUGUUUUUGUAACAAUCGUUCUGGACCCAUCUGCAACUGGCGCACAACUACUGCAAGAUUUAGACCAAAUCGGUCCGACGGACAUCGCGGACACGGAACUCACCGACAGCAGGUCAGACGGACCGGUCGAGCCCGACCCGCACGCGUUGUUCCACCCAAACGACCGACUACUUUUAUAACUAAUUCAAGGACUGGGCAUCAAGGACUGGGCAUCAAGGACUGUUUAUAAUUUUGCUUUAAAUAAUGAUAUGAACCCAUAGGAAUGGGCAUCCAAUUUCAACAACAACAAUAGUUCUCCCACCCCCGGCUCCCUAGCGGCUACUAUUUCUCCUCCGGUCCUGAUUCUGGGAAGUUAUCUCUCCAACGUUUCCGAACACGCCCAUACUCCGAUGGCGUACGUUACAGUUUUCUUCGCUUGCGCAAUUCCUCCUAAUUAGGGGUGAGAUUCCCCGUUCUCGUACCCGGUACCCGCCCCGUACUUGUGAAGACCGGAGGUGAGGAUAGAAAGUCUCCCGAAGGACCCGGAGGUCGUAAGAGAGAAGUUCUCCCGAGGGAGCCGGAUAUGAGGAAUUAGAAUUGUUUUGAUUCUGGAUGCCGAUCAUCCGGUAGUUCUCAUUAUUUAAAGUCAAACGCAUUAAUCCUGCUACAACAGAUUAACUAAUAAAGCUGAGAAAUAUUCCCUCUUCCAGACUAAUAAUAGACGUAGUGGGGAACACGCACAUUCUUUCAGUUUUAGAUGGGUCGUGGGGACUGGCGCGCUCUCGGAGUGGGUGGCUCCCCUGUUGGCAUCGCUGCUGGGACUUUCUCCUCUAAAUCGAUAAUUUCCGGUUCGUUUCUUAGCCGGCUCACAACUUUCGCAAUAUCCAGACCCAAUGUUACACGUACCCGGUAGGGAGGAUUUUCCUACCCGAAGUAAGAAAAUCUCCGUCUUCGGCCGAAAUCCUCGGGUACGGGGAUGGAGAUUGAAAUCUCCGCCCUGGAUAAUCCUCGUACUUGAGGAAAAUUGCAUAAACACCCUAUAAAAAAAAUUUAUUGUAUAAUUUGUAUAAUAACCUAAUAUUCUAAUUUAUAUUAAAAUCAUGAACUUUAAAAAUAAAAACCCAAUUGCAAAUCUCGAACGAAUAACCUAAUUUCUAUCUCCAGCUCCAAGG